AAGAGAAACUCCGUUCUUGGCCAGUUGUGCUCCGUACUGUGCAGACACACAGGCAGCGCCUGGAAGUCACCGAGAAAUGCAAUGCCUUUGAGAAGUUCCGUGGAAAGAAUGACAUCAUGACCAGUCACUCCCCCACCCCACCUUUUUUCCAGUGGGAGUGAGAAAUAAAUAGACUGACACAUUUUCCAGUCAGGGAGCCAUUCUGGACAGCAAGUUUACCUUGGCACAGGAGCUCAGGUGGGGCUGUGAGAAACCUUAUCUGUGCUUGCCUGGUAAACAAGGAGCCUGCAAUCUCCCCGGAGUCUUGGCCACUGAGCAGGUGACUGCGGGAGGCAGGUGAGCAGAGCAGGACACGCAGUUGGAGAAAGUUCUUGAUACCAGGAGGAGUUGCUUUGAUGUGUCAGCUUGGAAAGAAUGCCUCGUAAGGGCCAUUCAGGACUCCAGGAGAGCAACAAAAACAAAAAAGCCCCAGCUCGUGGAAACAUCAAAGUGAAGGCAAAUAUAACCAGACUGACCCACCUGGAGGUAUUUAAAUACCUUGAAGAAUGGUGGUGUGUCCUUGCAAAACCCAGGCAGCUUUCAGGUAGAAACUUGAGUCAUGUCUGGAUCAUAAGGAGUGAGGUGGCCCCACUGGCUGUCCCUGGCCACUCAUUAUAAUCAGGAAAAAGUGAGGACAAUGUGAGACUCUCCCUUGGAGAGUCUGAAAACUUGGAAGACCUGAAUUUUGGUGACCACUCAACAAGUCAGUCUGCUCCAGGGACCCAUUAACAUUGCAACCUCAUUCCUAGUGGUGCCAAGAUGCAGCCAUGAUUUGUACUGCAGUGUGGGGAGGCCAGAUUUGGGCCCUCCUGGAAGUCCACAGCAAUUCCGUCCCUGGAAAGUUGUUGCACAGAGGAAAAUACAGCGCCACGUCCCAAGACAAACUGAAGGCCUCCAAAGAAGACAUAAGUAAUUUUGUUCUUUAUAUUUUACAUCUUUACAGAAAGUAUCCGAGUUUACAAAAACCACAUAAAAUAGAACAAAGUUUAAAAAAUAGAAUAUAGAGGGAAAGGAAAAAUAAUAGAUAACAGAGGACAAAGCCCAGUGUGGCUGCUACCUUAUUGCUGUAAGGUCCUGUACACUUUCAAAUCAAACUCUGACUUCCCAACCCACAAAGCAAAAGUUAAAGAAAUGCACGUACAGCACUGCACCCAUGAUAAGAAAAACCAGGCAGCUGCUGCAGAGAAGCACAUCUAUUCCUGAUGCUGAGGCUCCCCAUGGGGCCUCAUGAGAAAGAAUUGGAAGACACAGUGGAAGGCCACCAAGAGCAUCCCCAACAACAGCCCUACCAUACACCAUAGGGAGUUUUCUGGGAUGGAGUUUCCUGGGAUGGUUCCUAUGACAUCCCAGUGCAGGCUACUGGCCAUGCCAAUGCCUGGUCCAGUGAGAACAAUUAUGGGAGACUCCAGAAUGACCUCUGCUGAGCUGGCUUACACCUAGGACAAAAAUCAGAGCAAAGAAACUGCUUUGGGAAUCCGAGGGGCCCUGCCUCUCUGGGAAUCUGAAUUCGGGCUUCUCCCCAGGUCUUGUGCCAGCUUUGCUCUUUGCUUUGGGAGGGGAGUCCCUAGGGUUUCCAGCAAAGCUGCCGUCAUUGAAGACAGAGGCACAGCACAUAGCCCAUGCACAGGCCAGGCCCAUGGUCUUCCCACUGAGACCUCUAGCCACAGAAUAGUCUCCAGUCGAGCAGAGGCUGAGGAGAAAGAGGGACUAAGUGCUGGUCCUGGGUUCACCAGUCACUGACAGUGGGAACCUCAGAAAGCCAACUCCUCUCUGUGGGCCUUAGUUCUGUCGCCUGCGAAGUGGAGCAGACGAGCUAGCAUCGGAUCUGUCCUUUUCCUGAGGAUUCUCAUGGCUGCAGAGCUCUUCAGUGCAUGGCAAGCUGAAGAGAGGCAAUGAAGCAGGGCUGGAAGCGUUGGGGUCUGUGGAAGACAUGAAAUGUACCACCCAGAUCCGCCUUCUACGGAGGGCCUUCUGCCCAGCUGCGGGUAUGGAACCAGCAGCCUGCCUCCAGCUGUUUGUUCCUUCAAAGUCUGCCACAGCUGCAGAAAGCUGCCUCCCCCAAGAUCAUGCCCUCCCAAGAUAGCCCAUGCUGUGGAUUGGGUGCAGCAGGGGAAUAAAGGCCCAGGCACUUUGUCCCUGUGCAGAUCACUCUGAACAGGUAAUAUUAGCUCCAAAGCUCCUCACAGAAUUGGCCAACAUUUGUUGAGCCUGCAUUUCAGUUAGACUUCUUUUUCUACCCAAGCCCGCUUCUUCCUUCUUCUUUGCACAGGUGUUGCUCCCAAAACCUGUCUUGGCAUCUGCUUCUGAAGAACCUAAUCUGCAGCAGAGGCCAAGCACCCAAGCACAAAGACUUGCCUGGCCUAUGACCUUUGGAACAAACACCUGAGCCACCGUGGACCCAAGAGCUAGAGAAACAACCAGCGUGGAUGGUCUGACAGCACCGCUGGCCACAGCUGCUACUCAGUGGCCGUUCAUCACAUGGAAAAGGGACAUGACCCUCUUCUCCCCAAACAGCCCCCUCUUGACUCUGUUCUUCCAGCGGAUGAUGCCAGUUUUCCAGCCACCCAAGCUCAAGAUCUCCAAGCCUCUCCCAAGUUCCUUUCCCUUCUGCUCCUAUAUCCGAACAGUUACUAAGUUUUGAAGCUCCAUCUUUGCAUACACCACCUCCCUCAUGGGCUACUGCAGCAACCCCAUGAGGACCCCUCCCUCCUUACUAUAAGAUGCUCACCCCUGGUGCAGGUCCUGUCACUGUGAUUCCUGCUCGCGCUCCCCACCAUAUGGGUCACUGCUCUGUGGAAGGAAGGAAUGACAUAUUGGAGUCACACCUGUUUCCCCGAAGUCAUUGGGAAGUGUUCGUUGCUGCUUGUUAGAAAUACCCAAACACAAACAAAAGGUGGUAAAACAAUGUGAAUUCGAUGAGAAGUUUCUGCUUCUGUUUGGAUUGAGGUCAGUGUUAUUUCCCUAGCGUAGACCCAGAAAACAGAGCACUUGUUCAACUGAGGAGAUGCCCCUGGCAUGUAAGUGAAUGUGCUUGUGUGGACAUGUGGAGGUCUCAAGAACAAAAGAAGAGCUGGGCAACUUGCUGGCACUUGAUACCCAGGUGUUUCUUAAUGUUCCUGUUGAAGAAAUAGCUGUAAAAUGCUGAAGGAAAUGCCCGCUUCCCUGUGUACAGAAGGCAGGCUGCGAAGGUGGGGCACCAUACAUUCUAGUCCAAAGAGGACUAGUAUGACCUCCCCAUUAGGCCACACGAAUCCCACAGCUGUGUGCGUGUAGCCAAGAUGUCAGCAAGGUGAGACCCCACACAAAUACUCCAAAAUGUGCUGGAAAGAGGGAGGGAUGGAAUAUCAACCAUUCUAUUUGGCAUCAUUCUCUGCUAAGAGAACAGGCUUGGCCUCUCUUUUUCAGAAACCAAGAAAGGGCUUUGCUGCCUUUGCUAUGUUUUCCU
RNAcentral lists this long non-coding RNA (3484 nucleotides) under Homo sapiens (human). RNAcentral describes it as "HSALNT0029493". The record is from RNAcentral. Lineage: Eukaryota; Metazoa; Chordata; Mammalia; Primates; Hominidae.